This is a long non-coding RNA of Bactrocera dorsalis (oriental fruit fly), 3633 nucleotides long. RefSeq lists it as uncharacterized. The transcript is spliced from 3 exons. The record is from RefSeq and is a predicted model, not a curated record. NCBI's taxonomy places the organism in Eukaryota, Metazoa, Arthropoda, Insecta, Diptera, Tephritidae.
AAAUCUUAACGGCAGAGGCUGCCGAAAAGAGUGCAUUUGCAGCUACGAAGUUAAAAUCUCACUGUAACGGUACUAAGAGCAAGUAGAAAGCUGUAAGAUGGCUGUAAAAAGGGCAGCAGCGCUCACAGCGAACAGAAAACCAUUCUGUUCCUUAGGCACUAACAAAAAAUGCAAAUCGAAUGUGUAAAAAGUACUUACCGCCUUUGAGAACGAAACGCUGUGAGGAAACAAAACAAACAAGAAAACGGAAAUGAAAACAAAAAUAAAUAAAAAGAUGAAUGAAAAAUAUUACUUUGUGCGCGCGCUUACAGCAACGUAACGCGGCAGAACAGCGCAUGAGAAAUAACUGAAUGCUGUGCUCGCAUAGCGAGAGAGCGCGUAAGAGCGCCAGAUUUUAAAAUUUACAAAAAUAUAUAUAUUUUUCCGAUUCUGCUGCGGCGCGGGCGUGUGAGGCAAAGUGGAGCCGAGAACCCCACAACAGCAGCGUCACUGUAGUGUAGUAGCAAGAGCAUGCUAAACGCUUGCUGUUAUUGUUGUUGUUAGCUGUUGGCUAAAUGCGAGCAAUUGUUGUUUUGUUGAGUCGAAGAAUUUUUUCACUACGUUUGCGAGGUACGCGCUGGUGGGAAAGGGGGAGAGGCGGCGCUUUUACACGUUUGCAUGUGUGUGCGUGUAAGUAGUUGUUUUUGCUAAAGCAGCUGUGGCAAUAUGCGUUGACAUAUUUGUAUAAAAAUAUAUACAUAUAUGUAUGUAUAUUUACAUACUUCGCCUGCUGCUGGUACUUUUUAGCAUUUUGUUUGCUUUUUUUCGAUUUUUGGUUUUGUUUUUGUUUGUCGUUUGUUUUUUGUUUUUGCUUUUAUACUGUUAACUUAACUAAAAGCAAGCAGCCUUCUCCUCGACGAAAGGCGAAAAUCCAUACAAACUUAUUAGUGACCCUACACACCUAUCUAAAUACACACACACACACACAAACGCUCGCGUACUUAUAGAAUAAGUUUCGUGGCGCUCACACUGUGUGCUGGUCGCUCGCGCUCUACUCGCUGCCAAUUUUAGUGCGCAUUUAGCAGUCAAGGCGAAAUGUUAUGGAAAAAUCGAAACAAUUGAAACGCCAAUAGGCGACAAAUCCGCGACGCGUUUAGCAGCAACUAAAGUGUAAAUGUGUAAAUAAAAUACAAAAAAAUAAAAACAAAUUUCGUUAACAACAACAAAAGUUUGCUACAACAAAGCAAAAAAUAGUGUUAUUGUGUUUUAAAAGUACAACAACAAGCAAGUGUGUCUUAUUUGGUGCUUGUUUUGGAAAAAUUCUACUACGACGUUUGGGGCUGCUUGACAGACAAAACGUCAGUGGCUGCUAACUGUAAGUGUUGUGCAAAAACAAAAGUGUGAAAUAAUAAUUUCGAUAUAGCAGAGCCUACAAAUGGUAAAAGUGUAAUAAGAACAAGCAGCAGUAUUCCAAUCAGCGCUGCAAUACUUAUUUGCAACAACAACAAGCUAGCAAAUAAUAAUAAAGAAAACACAAGUGUGCUGAAGCGAAAAGUGCAAAUAAAUUUCGCAAGAAAAUAAUCCGGAAAAUAUUAACAAAAUAAGGCAAACAGUGGAAAGAUCUAUGCUCAAGAAAGAAGCACAGAGAACCACAAAAUCAACAGAAUAGCAAGUGCUUAAACCAAAUGUAAACACAGCAGCGCGGCCGUCAAGUGAAAAGUGCUCCGAAUCUUUCAAGUUUUGAAAAUUAAUGGAAUAAUUUCGCUUGCUUAUUAUUGUGUGUGCAAAAUACAUACUAUAUGUAUGUAUAUUUGAUAAUUGCAAAAAUAACUGCUGGCUGUGCGCAGAGCGGCAACAACACAAAUAACUUUACAACUGGCAGUGUUUAAUGAGCUUGUCAUUCGCAUGUCAAUUGCGUGAAAUUUGUAUUUAUUUUUCAUUUAGCGAAAAUGGCAAAGCUCGAGCGCUACGAAAAUUUGCAGUUUUAUUUGAAAUAAAAAAAAAUCACCUUGCCUAUUUUCAACGAUUUGCUUUCGAAAGCUUCAUAAGCCUGCGAUUCAGCGUUGAAGUCUUGAAAAAGCAUGCUAUUUACAACUUAUAUGACUAUAGGUAUGUACCGAACUUUUUAUUGCUUUCAAUAAUUUCCAUAAGUAAAAUGUUGUUGAAAAUAGCGUAUUGCCACAAAAACAACUCAUUAUCCGCCCUAGGCAUAGCGGUAAGUGUCUUUAAAAGUACUUAACACGCCGCCAACCGCCGCUCGUUAAGCCCAUUAAUUUUGAUUAUUUAAGACGCAAUAUAUUUCUUGACUCAUUCUGUCGGUGUGCGAUUGUACAUGUACUCGAAAUUCAACUUAGUAUUUCGCCUUUAGUCUGGCAGCACUCUACAAACACACGCACUCGUAAGCACGUUUGCCACAAACAAACGCUCGCACGAGCAAUUCCCCUCACAGCAAUUCAACAUGACUUGUCCCCAGUGAUGCACGGCGGGGUCAUGUGAACUGAGGCAAAGAAAAUAUUGCAAGGACGUGCAAAAGAGUAGCUAUAACGGGGAAAAAGAAAAGCUGUGAGCUAGCAGCAAGCGUAUAGGUUCUUUAUGUAUAUAUGUAUAUACUUUGUAGACAGCAAGUGAGGUUAGUUGGUAAACUCGUAGGUGAGAUCAUGAAAGGCACUCGUAGUCAUGCAGUAGAUAUUAUUGUAAGUCUACUGACCGUAAUGGAGUUGCAAUUUCGUUUUGAGUUAGAAAAUAAAGCUAAAAAAUACGAGUUAAACAACUUGAGAGUUUGCUACCAAACGGAAGGAAAGCCAACAAAGGGAAAGCAAAUAUAUGCUAACGUUUCCUGUUUGUAUUUGCAGAUAGUCAUAUCCUGUGUUAUGCAAUUUUAUCUUACAAAAUUUUAUAGCGGCAAAGAGGUCCUUGUGGAAUCGGCAAAUAGCCUGAUUUGUAUUUGUAUUGUAUUCUAACCGAAAGAGAAUUUAAGAACAUGUUUUGUAAGCUUUUAGUCUAUCUUGUACAACUGCGAGCUCGAGUCUCAGAAAAGUUUCUGAACCUGAGCUGGGUGAAGUACAGUUAAAGCUUUACAGUUCAGCUUGCCUGAUGUUUAUGUUUGAGACCCUUGUAGUACACCGCACAACUCGAUUGGUGUUUAAGUCUGAGACUGGACCUGUUAUGACUCCGGCAGCCAAAUCUGUAUGUAGAAAUAUAAUCUCGUUUGAAAGGUUGUCUAAAGUGAGCCAUUUAGGCUUUGUUAGCUCUGUACUUUUUUUGCCUUAGGAGAAUGAAUUCAUGCCGACCAUUCGCAGGCUUACUAAUACCUAAUUUGUUUUUAGUAGUUUGAAUAUUUUCUUGCUGAGCUUCAAAGGCUUCACUAUAUAAAAUGGUAAUGAAAGCAACUUGUUUUACAGUGUGUUCCAUCGCAAACGUUUCGGAUCCAAGCUUCAUUUUAGUAGAUAUUUUCACCAAAAUAAGCACUGAAUGCCAUAGCUUUCUUAAAAAAGUUCACUGAUUCACUAGAGGUCUCUGAUCCAAUGUGAUUUUAGAUUCUUAGUCGAAGAGCAAAUCUUCAUUUAUCAUAAGUCUUGACACUUUGCAACCUCCCGAUCGUUCCAAUAUAAUUAUUAAUUUUACCGCUGUAAAUUUCAAAGGCUUUUAGGAAAA